RNAcentral lists this ribosomal RNA (670 nucleotides) under uncultured cyanobacterium. RNAcentral's name for it is "bacterial SSU rRNA". It matches the Rfam family "Bacterial small subunit ribosomal RNA", at positions 66 to 778 of the family's 1533-position model. Lineage: Bacteria; Bacillati; Cyanobacteriota. The record is from RNAcentral.
ACGGGAGUAGCAAUACUCCAGUGGCGGACGGGUGAGUAACGCGUGAGAAUCUACCUUCUGGUCGGGGACAACCACUGGAAACGGUGGCUAAUACCGGAUAUGCCGCAACGUGAAAGGUUUAUCGCCAGAAGAGGAGCUCGCGUCUGAUUAGCUAGUUGGUAGGGUAAAAGCCUACCAAGGCAUCGAUCAGUAGCUGGUCUGAGAGGACGAUCAGCCACACUGGGACUGAGACACGGCCCAGACUCCUACGGGAGGCAGCAGUGGGGAAUUUUCCGCAAUGGGCGAAAGCCUGACGGAGCAAGACCGCGUGAGGGAAGAAGGCUCUUGGGUCGUAAACCUCUUUUGUUAGGGAAGAACACAAUGACGGUACCUAACGAAUCAGCCUCGGCUAACUCCGUGCCAGCAGCCGCGGUAAUACGGAGGAGGCAAGCGUUAUCCGGAAUUAUUGGGCGUAAAGCGUCCGCAGGUGGCGAUUCAAGUCUGCGGUCAAAGACUGGGGCUUAACCCUGGAAAGGCCGUGGAAACUGAAGAGCUAGAGUGCAGUAGGGGUAGAGGGAAUUCCCGGUGUAGCGGUGAAAUGCGUAGAGCUCGGGAAGAACAUCGGUGGCGAAAGCGCUCUGCUGGACUGCAACUGACACUCAGGGACGAAAGCUAGGGGAGCGAAUGGGAU